This is a long non-coding RNA of Bombyx mori (domestic silkworm), 1075 nucleotides long. RefSeq lists it as uncharacterized. The transcript is spliced from 2 exons. The record is from RefSeq and is a predicted model, not a curated record. Lineage: Eukaryota; Metazoa; Arthropoda; Insecta; Lepidoptera; Bombycidae.
ACCGGUACAUUUUAUUACAGCCAGAUAAAAAUACGCUAUAAAAAAAUUCGCCAUUUCACGUUCCGUUCCACAGUGUAAACAAAACUUUGUUACUUUUUGUGUAAAAAAGUCAAUGUAAUUGCUUAUUACAGCAACAAUUACUGUGCACAUUAAUUACAACAAAUUUACUAUGUGAAUAUAUUAAAAUAAUAAAAUAUAUUUCGGUAAAAACAUGACAUAAAAUUUAGUAAAAUACACGUUUACCGUAAACGGAUCGUGAAACGUCAACUGUGACGUCUACCUUGACGAUUUUUAAGGGAACUUUAAAAAAUUAUAUCUCGUAAACCUUGAGUUUCCGCAACUUGAAACUUUGCAAAAAGCUUUCUAUUUAUGAGUACUAUCUACAAAAAAAAAAAAAUUGAGAACUUCCAAAUCUACGGACUCUAAAGGAAAGUUUAGCUCAGUUGAUGUUUAAGAAUUACGGUACUUAUACCCGAAGUACGGGUUAUUACGGUUAUGCUUUAGUUAUGCUGCUCUGUUCAGAGAAUAACACAAUAAUAUGGAAUGCACAGAUAAUACGGACGGAAUGUAUAGAACAUAAUUCAGCAUGAAAAUUCAAUAUCCAAAACAAUAAACAACUUUACUACAAGCGGACUUGAGUGAAGGGAGCGUACGUAAUAUGUACAUAUACAAAUAUCACACCAAUAACAGAAAACAUUAAAGUGUAGUUCUCACUUUCUCAGUACAGCUGAAGUAACUGUAGUGUUUGGACGUCUAAAAUUUUAUUUUAAUAUUUUAAAUAUCGUUGUUAAAAUGGAUCGAAAAUUCGUAAAUGUUAUUAUAUUAGGAUUCGGUUUUAUGUUUGUGUUUACUGCAUUUCAAACAAUGGGAAAUAUUGAGAAUCGCAAUCGAGAGAAAUCUGUAUAUAUAUAUAUAUAUAUAUAUAAAUGAAUUGCUGUUCGUUAGUCUCGCUAAAACUCGAGAACGGCUGGACCGAUUUGCUAACUUUGUUCUUGAAUUAUUUGUGGAGGUCCAGAGAAGGUUUAAAACGUAGAUAAAUAUGAAAAUGCUCGGAAAUAAAUAAAAAUAAGAAUUU